UUUAACACUUCAUGACUGACAACACAACACAACACAAUCUUCAGCAUCACACAAACCAACAAGAACAACAAUGACUUUCAGCAUCAUCUUCAUCUGGACACUCACAGUGUUUAUUACAGAAUCCAGAGGAGUUACUCUGACUCAACCUAGAGUGAAAAGUGUUCAACAGGGACAAACAGCUACAAUAGAGUGUCAUAUAGAUGUAGGAAUAUAUAGCAGCUACUUAGCCUGGUAUCAGCAGAAACCUGGAGAAGCUCCUAAACUCCUCAUAUAUGACAUCAGAAGCCUCCAGUCUGGAGUAUCAUCUAGAUUCAGUGGCAGUGGAUCAAACACAGAUUUCACUCUGAGCAUCAGUGGAGUUCAGACUGAAGAUUCAGGAGAUUAUUACUGUCAGAGUGAACAUUAUAUCAACAGUAAAGAUGUGUUGACACAGUGAUAAAGAGUCGUACAAAAACCUCCGUCAGUCAGACUGAAUAGUGACUGCACUGAUACACCUGACACAUACUGCAGCUGAUCAUACAACACAAAAAAACACACACACAUAACACUGAUCACUAAUAUAGAUUUUUUUUAGUUAUGAAGAUAAUGAGUCAAGAGAAAAAAUACAUUUACAUUUUGAUAAGAAUAUUAUUUUAGUUAAAUUCAUGAUUUAUAUCAAACAUA
Molecule: non-coding RNA, 663 nt
Organism: Triplophysa dalaica
Lineage: Eukaryota; Metazoa; Chordata; Actinopteri; Cypriniformes; Nemacheilidae
Source: the annotation of a RefSeq genome assembly